AAAGGAAUUGACGGGGACCCGCACAAGCGGUGGAUGAUGUGGUUUAAUUCGAUGCAACGCGAAAAACCUUACCCACCUUUGACAUGGCAGGAAUCCUUCAGAGACGAAGGAGUGCUCGCAAGAGAGCCUGCACACAGGUGCUGCAUGGCUGUCGUCAGCUCGUGUCGUGAGAUGUUGGGUUAAGUCCCGCAACGAGCGCAACCCUUGCCAUCAGUUGCUACGAAAGGGCACUCUGAUGGGACUGCCGGUGACAAACCGGAGGAAGGUGGGGAUGACGUCAAGUCCUCAUGGCCCUUAUAGGUGGGGCUACACACGUCAUACAAUGGCCGGUACAAAGGGCAGCGAAGCCGCGAGGUGAAGCCAAUCCCAUAAAGCCGGUCGUAGUCCGGAUUGCACUCUGCAACUCGAGUGCAUGAAGUCGGAAUCGCUAGUAAUCGUGGAUCAGCAUGUCACGGUGAAUACGUUCCCGGGUCUUGCACACACCGCCCGU
Molecule: ribosomal RNA, 490 nt
Filed under: uncultured bacterium
Lineage: Bacteria
Description: bacterial SSU rRNA
Rfam family: Bacterial small subunit ribosomal RNA
Source: RNAcentral